Caenorhabditis elegans is the source of this 285-nucleotide non-coding RNA. The record is from Ensembl. Lineage: Eukaryota; Metazoa; Nematoda; Chromadorea; Rhabditida; Rhabditidae.
AAUGAUAUCAAAAGAGAAAAAGAGAACGAUCAUUUGUUUAAAGAACACUACACCAAAUCAUCAUAUUUUAUGGUGUCAUAACUGAAGAGAAAGUGAUGGAAGAAAGGUAUAUGGGGCCGUGGAUAACAAGUUUUUCCCCUUUUUUUGUUUCACCGAAUGUUGUGGUGUAUGUUUCAUAAUAACCACAGAAGAAGAGGCUUCUUUUUUGUUUUCUGGGCAAACUGGAAAGUAGAAAAGUUUCCCCCUUAAGAAGAAGAGAAGAGACAUUCAUCUUUCUCAAAGGCU